This 492-nucleotide ribosomal RNA is filed under the name uncultured bacterium. Its description in RNAcentral is "partial 16S ribosomal RNA". It matches the Rfam family "Bacterial small subunit ribosomal RNA", at positions 29 to 507 of the family's 1533-position model. The record is from RNAcentral.
AGUGAACGCUGGCGGUAGGCCUAACACAUGCAAGUCGAACGGCAGCACAGUAAGAGCUUGCUCUUACGGGUGGCGCGUGGCGGACGGGUGAGGAAUACAUCGGAAUCUACUUUUUCGUGGGGGAUAACGUAGGGAAACUUACGCUAAUACCGCAUACGACCUACGGGUGAAAGCAGGGGAUCUUCGGACCUUGCGCGAUUGAAUGAGCCGAUGUCGGAUUAGCUAGUUGGCGGGGUGAAGGCCCACCAAGGCGACGAUCCGUAGCUGGUCUGAGAGGAUGAUCAGCCACACUGGAACUGAGACACGGUCAAGACUCCUACGGGAGGCAGCAGUGGGGAAUAUUGGACAAUGGGCGCGAGCCUGAUCCAGCCAUACCGCGUGGGUGAAGAAGGCCUUCGGGUUGUAAAGCCCUUUUGUUGGGAAAGAAAAGCAGCAGGUUAAUACCCCGCUGUUCUGACGGUACCCAAAGAAUAAGCACCGGCUAACUUCGUG